RNAcentral lists this ribosomal RNA (478 nucleotides) under uncultured bacterium. RNAcentral describes it as "partial 16S ribosomal RNA". It matches the Rfam family "Bacterial small subunit ribosomal RNA", at positions 28 to 523 of the family's 1533-position model. The record is from RNAcentral.
GACGAACGCUGGCGGCGUGCUUAACACAUGCAAGUCGAACGGUAAGGCCCUUCGGGGUACACGAGUGGCGAACGGGUGAGUAACACGUGGGUGAUCUGCCCUGCACUUCGGGAUAAGCCUGGGAAACUGGGUCUAAUACCGGAUAGGACCACUGCCUGCAUGGGUGGUGGUGGAAAGCUUUUGCGGAGUGGGAUGGGCCCGCGGCCUAUCAGCUUGUUGGUGGGGUGAUGGCCUACCAAGGCGACGACGGGUAGCCGGCCUGAGAGGGUGACCGGCCACACUGGGACGGAGAUACGGCCCAGGCUCCUACGGGAGGCAGUAGUGGGGAAUAUUGCACAAUGGGCGCAAGCCUGAUGCAGCGACGCCGCGUGAGGGAUGACGGCCUUCGGGUUGUAAACCUCUUUCAGCACCGACGAAGCGCAAGUGACGGUAGGUGCAGAAGAAGGACCGGCCAACUACGUGCCAGCCGCCGCGGUAA